ACCGCGUGGGACUUUCCUCUCUGGCUUAGACUGGGAGACUAGUCUAGUUCCUUUUUGGAGCUUGAGAACCGGGGCGGGAGAAUGGCGUCCCUCAAGACCCUCGUGGAUGUGGUUCUCUCAGGCCAACGUUCCUUCCUCGGGGACUGUCCUGGAGAAGCUUUGGCCCUUACCUCUCCCCAGCUCAGCCCCUGGGCCACAGCUCUGGGUCAUACAGCCUCCUAAAAUCCUGAGCUGUUCUUUACUGUGCCACAUUUUUAUCACAUUUGAGUGCCUGCUGUGUGCCAUGCACGUUUCUAAUCCUUAAAUGGAUGAAACAAAAGCCUUAGAUGUUACAGUGGAGGAGAAAAAUCAAGACAAAAAUACCCAAUAUAUCUUAGGGUGACAAAUGCUAAGGAGAAAAACGGAGGAAGGAGUCCCUUCUCUCACUGAUGAGUCUGAAGAAGGAACUGGGCUAUGAUGGGCAGCCUCCCCCCACGACUCUGAGACCGGCCGACCUAUACAACCUCGUGGACGCACCCAGAAGUGAUGGUUUACCAGCUCCCCGAGCCUCCCUGAGCCCAGUCAAGUUGAUGCAGAAAGUUAACCAUCACAAGUCUUGGGAUAAGAUCGUCCUGGAUUCUCCAGUGGCAUAAAUCCAAUGACAGAUGUCCUUAGGAGGACAGGAAAAUGCAGAGAGAAGAAGGAGACACGUAGACAGGUAAAGAGUCCACAAGCAGAAGUUGGCAACCCCGAGCCAAGGAAUGCUUGCAGCCACCAGAGGCUGGAAGAGACAAAGAAGGAUCCUUCCCUAGGGCCUGUGGAGGAAGUGUGGGCCUGUCAGCAUCUUGACAUGGGGCUUCUGGCCCCAUAAACUGUUCGAAAAUAGAUGUCUGCUGUCUUUAAGCCACCCAGGUUGUGGUAAUUGGUAGUCCUAGGGCAUGAAUACAGACGGUAAGAGUAGAUUCCAUGGAAAAGUAGUGUCUGAGGAAGUCUUAAAGGAUAUGGGAAGUCUGCUGUGUGAAUAUCCGGGGGCAGGACUGUGGGCCUAGGGAAUGACCCGCUAUCAGGGAAGGGGUGCAGGAGGGGUCAGAGGAAGGGGCAUAGGGAGCAACAAGGACAAGGAAGUAACAGAGAAACCAAAGCGGGCUGACAGAGCAUGUGGGGCCUCCUAGGGCGUUGCAAAACCUUUGGAAUAGUGGUGCAUGUGGAAUGAACCAUAAAAACACCACUAUUGAGCCUCUGUGACAUGACGAGUACUGUGACAGGUUCUUCGAGUACUCGCGCUGAGCCCUGCCCAGAUUCCUGACCCACAGCAUCAUAGCAAUAAUGAAGAGUCGUUAAAGUGACCAAGUUUUGGGUGGCUCAUUGUGCAGCAAUACGUAACUGAUACACUAGCCGCGUCCCCUCUCUCCGUUCCUGAGGAGUGUAAGGAGUCAAGACGGAACCUUGUACUUCGACUCACAGAUCUAGGACAGACCCGGAAGGCCUCGGUUGAAGACCCUCUGUCUGUCUCUACUUGGCUUAGGAGAUCCAGCUCCAUUAGAAGCUAUUCCUGACACUAAAAUGUUAUCAGUGCAUUUCUUCGGGUGAUGUAGUUAUAGGCAGUUUCCUGCAUUUGUUCAGUUUUCCCAGAAUGAGUAAAAACUGCUUCAGUAAUGAGGAAAGAUACUCUAUGUAGCUCUCUUCCGUAACUAUGGGAGCCACUGUUCCUCCUUUGGUGUCCUCUCCCUCCAGGGGAUAGCCUUGAGGUCUCCACACCUUCUUUCUCCAAGUGACAGGAGCCACUGUUGGUGGGCUGCACCCAGCCACUCUCAGUCCUUUGCAUCUUUCCUGUUGGGCCUUAAAGAGCCAGAUACUCAUUUUCCUAGUCCCCUUGCAGCUGGAGGUGACCAGGCAACAAAGUACCAUCCAGUAAGAUACAAAGGCAAGAGUUUUCCUUUCUGGGAAAGGAAGAAAGCGAGAAAGGGAG
Neofelis nebulosa (Clouded leopard) is the source of this 1948-nucleotide long non-coding RNA. RefSeq lists it as uncharacterized. The record is from RefSeq and is a predicted model, not a curated record. Lineage: Eukaryota; Metazoa; Chordata; Mammalia; Carnivora; Felidae. The transcript is spliced from 3 exons.